Molecule: ribosomal RNA, 245 nt
Filed under: uncultured bacterium
Lineage: Bacteria
Description: partial 16S ribosomal RNA
Rfam family: Bacterial small subunit ribosomal RNA
Source: RNAcentral
UACAGAGACGGCAAGCGUUGUUCGGAUUCAUUGGGCGUAAAGGGUGCGCAGGCGGCGCGUUAAGUCGGAUGUGAAAUCUCACAGCCUAACUGUGAUAGGUCAUUCGAAACUAGCGUGCUCGAGGACUGGAGAGGAGACUGGAAUGGUCGGUGUAGCGGUGAAAUGCGUAGAGAUCGACCAGAGCACCGGUGGCGAAGGCGAGUCUCUGGACAGUUCCUGACGCUGAGGCACGAAAGCCAGGGGAG